CUAAACGCUGCAAGCUAGGUGUUGCGGAAUCUACGCGAUUCCGCAGUGUCGUAGUGAAGAUGUUAAGCUUGCCACCUGGGAAGUACGUUCGCAAGAAUGAAACUUAAAGGAAUUGGCGGGGGAGCACCACAAGGGGUGCGGCGUGCGGUUUAAUCGAACUCAACGCCGAGAAUCUCACCAGGAGCGACGGCAGGAUGAUAGACAGUCUGAAGGGCUUUCUUGACGAGCCGAGAGGUGGUGCAUGGCCGGCGU
Molecule: ribosomal RNA, 252 nt
Filed under: uncultured bacterium
Lineage: Bacteria
Description: partial 16S ribosomal RNA
Rfam family: Archaeal small subunit ribosomal RNA
Source: RNAcentral